GUUUAUUGGCCCAUAAACGUAAUUCAGGGUGAGGAACUAACUAACAUCAAAUUAAAAAAGUGAAAUUCUCCUUUAAUGGUCUUGGGUUAAUGAGUGAAGUUUUUUGUCAGGCCAGUGAAGUUCGGAAAAAGAAAAGCUGCUCAGCAGGGAAGCCAAUAACUCCUUGGCACCCCUCCUCUCAUUCCUCAGUUUGAUCAUAGGUCUAAAAGACUAUAGACAGAAGACAAUGAAGAGGAAUAUGAAGCACCUGCAAUACUAUCAAUUUCUAUUCUGCUACCUUCUGCUGACUAUCAAAGAUCAUGCACUCUGUGUCAAAGAAAUCACAAUUACUCCGGCUGAACCACAUGUCAAGCUGGGAGAUGCUGUGACCCUAACCUGUGAAACAACCUGUGAAGGCAAACCACAGUGGAAGCAACUAGACGACAGUGAUGCUGAAAUCACUUUCGAUGGGAAAAAAAGUUUUCUAAAGAUUGCAGCUGUACAGCUGGAUCACCAACAAACAUAUACCUGCACUGUGGCCAAAUGUCUUACACGGAAGAAGGAAUCAGUCAAGCUCAUCGUUGACAUUACCCCAGAUCCUUUAAAAACAACAGUUAAGGCUGAUGUACUUCCAGUUCACACCACAGAAAACCCAACAGAGAUGUUGCCAACAACGACAUGGCCCGCUACUAUUAAUGCACUUAAGGAAAAAGGAAUAGAUGUUGAGGUCAGUAGCAUUACAAAAAAGCUACCAGAGGUUGCGUCCACAUCAUUUCUCCCUACCAAAACAAGAGAUCCACAAGUGGAAGAUCCUUCAAAAACAACAAUCAAGACUGAUAUAUUUCCAGUUCACACCACAGAAAAUCUAACAAAAAUGUUGCCAACAACAUUACUGCCCACCACUAUUAAUCAUCUAAAAGACAGUCUUUCCACAGAAGGAAUAGAUGUUGAGGUCAGUAGCAUUACAAAAAAGCUACCAGAGGUUGCGUCCACAUCAUUUCUCCCUGCCAAAACAAGAGAUCCACAAGUGGAAGAUCCUUCAAAAACAACAAUCAAGACUGAUAUAUUUCCAGUUCACACCACAGAAAAUCUAACAAAAAUGUUGCCAACAACAUUACUGCCCACCACUAUUAAUCAUCUAAAAGACAAAGGAAUAGAUGUUGAGGUCAGUAGCAUUACAAAAAAGCUACCAGAGGUUGCGUCCACAUCAUUUCUCCCUACCAAAACAAGAGAUCCACAAGUAGAAGAUCCUUCAAAAACAACAAUCAAGGCUGAUAUAUUUCCAGUUCACACUACAGAAAAUAUAACUAAAAUGUUGCCAACAACAUUACUGCCCACCACUAUUAAGCCUCUGAAAGACACAGGGGCAGCUUCCAGCUCCACUAUAAUGGCCAUGGCUGUAGUGGGCUCAGUGGCAACUCUCUCAUUCCUGGGAUUCUUGAUUCACCUGAUCCGCCGGAAGAAACGCAAGUUGUCCCCUAAUGACAUGUAGAACCACCUGGAUGACUGCUGACCAAAAUUGCAUCAGCUUCAUCUCAUUUCAAGCUUUUUUUGUCCAAUAUAUUUAAUGCUAUUAUAACACUCCUUCAUACAGCUUUCCCUGCAUCAGCUUAAACCUAAUAUAAUACACUGAUCAAAAAAAUUUAAGGAACACUUAAAUCAUACAUCGGGUCUCGAUGAACGACAUAUGUUAAAGAUCAUAACCUUUACUGUACAUUGUGUAAUUAUCACGGUCGUAGGUAUGCAUGAUAUGUGGCGCAGAGCGAGUAAAGGGAAACAUCCUUUUAUUAUAACGCAAAAAAUAACAAAAGGAGAGGCAAACCUAACACAAACAAUGAUCCACAAGUGAAAAGUCCAAAAGGGAAACUUAAAUAGGGUCCCCAAUUAGAGGCAACAUGCGGCAGCUGCUGCCUCUCAAUCACCAACCGAUUGAGGGCUGGAUUCAAACUGAAAAUCAAAGUAAACAACUAAAAUCACAGGCUGUUCCAACUUAAUGUGACUCAUAAUGUGACCCAGUAGUGUGUGCCUGUAUGCAAUGCCGACAAUGUCUGGGCGUGCUCCUGAUGAGAUGGCGGAUGGUGUCCUUGGUGAUCUCCUCCCAGACCUGGAUCAGGGCAUCAGUGAACUCCUGGACAGUCUGUGGCACUACUUGAUAGGAUUCAGGUCUGGGAUUCAGGUCUGAGAACGUGAAACCGGUAAUGCUAGAUGAUGUUGUAAGCAACGUUCACCACAGCGUCUCCAGACUCUUUCAUGUCUGUCACGUGCUCAAUUUGAACCUGUGCUCAUCUGGGAAAAGAAUGUAACGCCAAUGGCGGACCUGCCAAUUCUGGUGUUCUCUAGUGAAUGCCAAUCGAACUGCAUGGUGCUGGGCUGUGAGCAUAGGUCCCACUAGAGGACGUCAGACCCUCAAGCCACCCUCAUGGAGUCUGUUUCUGACAAUUUGGUCAGAAAUAUGCACACAUUAGCCUGCUGGAAGUCUGGCUCUGGCAGUGCUCCUCCUGUUCCUCCUCACACAAAGGAGCAGGUACCGGUCCUGCUGCUGGUUUGAUGCUCUUCUAUGGCCCUGUACAGCUCUCCCCGUGUAACGGCUCGUCUCCUGGUAUCUCCUCCAUGUUCUUGAGACUGUACUGUGAGACACAGCAAACCUUCUUGCGACGGCACGUAUGGAUUUGCUAUUCUGGAAGAGCUGGACUGCCUGUGCAACCCGAGUGGGCUGUAGGUACCGCCACAUGCUACCAGUAGUGACAACCACACUAGCAAAAUGCAAAAAUAAAGAAGAAUCAGUCAGGAAGGAUAAGGAGAGAGCAAUUGUCUGUUGCCACCACCUGCAAACCAUUCCCUUUUUGGGGGUUGUCUAGCCGUUGCCUCUCCAGUAAACCUGUUGUCUCUUUCAUUUGCACCAAUGCAGUGACAUUGAUUCACAAUUGAUAUCCCUCAAAUUCACUUGGUGUUAUACUGUGAUGAUUGUGUUCCCUUAAUUUUUUAGCAGUGUAUUUGCUAUGGUACUACCUGAUAAAAUUAAGGACAAUGUACAAAGAAUGACACCCAAGAAGAACAGUCUAAUUUGGAAAAAAAUAUGUAACUAACAUGAAGUUUGAUUAAUAUCAUAUCCAUAUAAAAAGAAAAAUAUAGCAACAUUUUUGAUUUCCUGAGGUUUAUUUUAAAUAGACAUUCCUGUUUAGGUAUUUCUGUUGUGAUGUUAACUUUUUUUAUACAUUUCAUUAUACACCGAUGCAGGAGCGUCACCAGACCUGGGCUUUCAUUUAAUUCUACAUGUUAUAUUUUUAAGUGGAACAUUAUAUCAAAUAGACAUGACUAAAUGGCAUCUGUAGCAACAUUACCAUGAAAAAGCCUAAAUAAGUUAAUAAAGCAUGUGAAUUUAAACACAAACAGUAAUUUCUACUACUACUUGUUUUCUUUUGUUUUUUGCAUACACUGUGGUAUAAGCGGGACAGACCUUUUUCUGUAACAUCACCUUGGCAAAAAUGAACUCCUUCCAUUCCAUUGUCUGAUGCAACUAGAAUCCUGCAGGAAUGUCAUCUGUUGUGAAGGAAUCAUGCAGGUGUCCUGCAGGAAUCCUGAAGGAUUGACCUUGAUGAGAGAUUAUCCUGCAGAAAUCCAGAGAAUAUUGCACAACCCUGAAAAUUCAUGCAGGAAUCAAAAUCCUGCAGACUUCUAAAUUCCUGCAGGAUAUGACGAUCCCUGCAGGAAUAAAAAUUCCUGAAAAUGAAUAUUCUAGCAUGAAUCACACUGUAUAUUUUAAUAAACAAGCUGGAUAUGGCAAUUCCUGCUGGACUAAAACCGUCAGGAUUUAGAUUUUCCUGCAGGACAUGUGAAAAUGUGAAUUCCUGACAAUUUCUGUCAUCUGCUCAUACUAGUCAUGUAAUAUUAAGUAUUUAAUAUCUUGCAGGUGGAUUUCAGUCACACUAAGUAGAAGCAAUAGAUUCUGGGCUAGUAUUUUUUAUUGUCUCACUCAGAAUUUGAAACAAGCACAAGAUACUUUUAGAAAACGUUUUAAAAACAGCCAUGUAACAAUACAUGAUGUAAUAACACCGCAUUAUGUAAUAACUUGACCAAAUGUAAUACAUUUUCAAUUCAUUUUGUAAUAACACCCACAUUUUUACUAAUCUGCUUCAUUUGUAAUAAUCAGCUUGAAAGCAAUUUGUACUAAAUGUCCCCGCAUUUUGUAACAAAUUAUUACAUUAUGUGGUGAUUAUUACAAAAUGUGGGAGUUGGACUUAUAAAAAAUGAAAAUGUAAUUAUAUAGUGCAUUAUGUAAUACCCAGC
Esox lucius (northern pike) is the source of this 4266-nucleotide long non-coding RNA. Lineage: Eukaryota; Metazoa; Chordata; Actinopteri; Esociformes; Esocidae. The record is from Ensembl.